AUACGUAGGGUGCAAGCGUUAAUCGGAAUUACUGGGCGUAAAGCGUGCGCAGGCGGUUCGGAAAGAAGGAUGUGAAAUCCCAGGGCUCAACCUUGGAACUGCAUUCUUAACUACCGAACUAGAGUAUGUCAGAGGGGGGUAGAAUUCCGCGUGUAGCAGUGAAAGGCGUAGAUAUGCGGAGGAAUACCGAUGGCGAAGGCAGCCCCCUGGGAUAAUACUGACGCUCAUGCACGAAAGCGUGGGAAGCAAACAGGAUUAGAUACCCUGGUAGUCCACGCCCUAAACGAUGUCAACUAGCUGUUGGGCCCUUCGGGGCUUAGUAGCGUAGCUAACGCGUGAAGUUGACCGCCUGGGGAGUACGGUCGCAAGAUUAAAACUUAAAGGAAUUGACGGGG
This 395-nucleotide ribosomal RNA is filed under the name uncultured bacterium. RNAcentral's name for it is "partial 16S ribosomal RNA". It matches the Rfam family "Bacterial small subunit ribosomal RNA", at positions 523 to 918 of the family's 1533-position model. The record is from RNAcentral.